AUUGAACGCUGGCGGCAUGCCUUACACAUGCAAGUCGAGCGGAGCGGCGGACGGGUGAGUAAUGCCUAGGAAUCUGCCUGGUAGUGGGGGAUAACGUCCCGAAACGGGCGCUAAUACCGCAUACUCUAAAAUCAGCCUAGGUCGGAUUAGCUAGUUGGUGGGGUAACGGCCUACCAAGGCGCCGAUACGUAACUGGUCUGAGGGGAUGAUCAGUCACACUGGAACUGAGAGACGGUCCAGACUCCUACGGGAGGCAGCAGUGGGGAAUAUUGGACAAUGGGCGAAAGCCUGAUCCAGCCAUGCCGCGUGUGUGAAGAAGGUCUUCGGAUUGUAAAGCACUUUAAGUUGGGAGGCGUUACCAACAGAAUAAGCACCGGCUAACUUCGUGCCAGCAGCCGCGGUAAUUC
RNAcentral lists this ribosomal RNA (407 nucleotides) under uncultured bacterium. RNAcentral's name for it is "partial 16S ribosomal RNA". It matches the Rfam family "Bacterial small subunit ribosomal RNA", at positions 30 to 526 of the family's 1533-position model. The record is from RNAcentral.